UUUGUAUUCCUGAUGAGGAUGAAGUGGCUCUACGAGAGAGUGUGAUUCCGGAACUGGAAUCGUGCAUCCGUGAAAAGUACCAAGAUGCUAACCUCACUCUGUACGGAUCGUCAUGCAAUGGCUUCGGUUUAACCAGCAGUGAUUUGGAUGUGAGCUUGACAUUUGAGCACAGUAAAGAUGGCAAGGAAUUUCCCCCCGAACGUGUCAUCUGUGAUGUGGCGGGAAUACUGCAGCAGAACAAUACUACAGUGACGGGGGUAAGAACUUUUAUAAAGGCCAAGAUUCCGUUUUUGAGGUUGAAGCACAUCCGGACUGGACUACAGGUGGACGUCAGCUUUUAUAAUACUUUGGCCCUGUUCAACUCUAGGCUCCUCAAGGUGUACACACAGAUUGACGAGCGAGUACAGAUUCUUGGGUACACUUUCAAGCACUUUGCA
Rhipicephalus microplus (southern cattle tick) is the source of this 437-nucleotide long non-coding RNA. The record is from RefSeq and is a predicted model, not a curated record. Lineage: Eukaryota; Metazoa; Arthropoda; Arachnida; Ixodida; Ixodidae.